AUGUGUUUUUGCUGGGUAUUCCUCGGUUUGAGCUAUAUAUGUUUAAUGUAUGUCGUCUGUGUGUGUUUGAUGUUGAUGUCGCUUGUGGUUUUGCAGGGUUCUGAGGCUGCAACCUGGGCACAGGUACUGCCUCCUCGGCCAGCUCUCCAAGGAGGUCGGAUGGAACUACGCUCACACCAUCAGAUCUGUAGAAGCUGCCGGCACCGCCGCUACCGCUGCCGCUGUUGUAGGUGGAACAGGAAGAAGCCCUCAUGGCUGCUGCACAUCCAAAGUGGCGAGCCCCACCCAAUGUUUUUGGGUUGCGACUUGAUGGUCAUGUUGCUGUUUUGCUCUGCUUGA
RNAcentral lists this ribosomal RNA (339 nucleotides) under Triticum aestivum (bread wheat). Its description in RNAcentral is "partial small subunit ribosomal RNA". The record is from RNAcentral. Lineage: Eukaryota; Viridiplantae; Streptophyta; Magnoliopsida; Poales; Poaceae.